Molecule: unclassified non-coding RNA, 257 nt
Filed under: uncultured bacterium
Lineage: Bacteria
Description: contains 16S-23S intergenic spacer region
Rfam family: Bacterial small subunit ribosomal RNA
Source: RNAcentral
AACGGAGGGGCCCAGCGUUAUUCUUAGUGAUUUGGCGUAAAGGGUACGUAGACGGCCUUUGUAAUGUCGCGUUAGACUCCAUAGUGAAGAUAUGGUAUGAGCGGGACUCGAUUCAAAUGGCUUUGAGUAAGGGGGAUGACGGUAGUAUUUUUAAAGUAGGAGUGGCAUCCAACGAUUUUAAAAAGACUCCCAGUAGCGAAGGCGACCGUCAACUCCAGGACUGACGUUGAGGUACGAAGGCGUGGGGAGCAAACGGG